UCUAAGGCUAGACUAAUACUUGAUCUUAGUUUGAACAAGGCAAAUUUAGACUCGGCGCAAGCAGAUCAGGGCUAAAGCGGGUUUCCUGCUUGGGCCCGGUUUGAAUUGGUCUUCGUUUAUGCAACCGGUCCUAAAAGACUCGAAAAGAAUCGCAUAUUUCUCGUACUUGUCCUUUUAUUUUGGAAUGAUUAAAAAUGUCAUCAAAAUCAUCUUCAAUGCCAUCAUCCCUAUGUUAAAUGCCACCAUAAAAAUUAUCAAGUACUUCCAUGGUCAGUGGCUAUCAAUAGGGAAUUCACGAUUUCAAAGGGCCCAAUCUAUAACUCAAUAUGUUAGAAAAAUAUAUAUUUUUAUACUGUUUGAGUUUCGAAAUUUGAAGUUCUCUAUCA
This 386-nucleotide long non-coding RNA is filed under the name Androctonus crassicauda. Lineage: Eukaryota; Metazoa; Arthropoda; Arachnida; Scorpiones; Buthidae. The record is from RNAcentral.